Molecule: ribosomal RNA, 932 nt
Filed under: uncultured bacterium
Lineage: Bacteria
Description: bacterial SSU rRNA
Rfam family: Bacterial small subunit ribosomal RNA
Source: RNAcentral
AGAGUUUGAUCAUGGCUCAGAAUCAACGCUGGCGGCGUGCCUCAGACAUGCAAGUCGAACGCGAAAGUUCCCUUCGGGGAGCAAGUAGAGUGGCGCACGGGUGAGUAACACGUAGGUAAUCUACCUUCGGGUGGGGAAUAACCCAGGGAAACUUGGGCUAAUACCGCAUAAUGCAGCGGCACCACAUGGUGACAGUUGUUAAGGCGGGGGAUUUUCGGACCUCGCGCCUGAAGAGGAGCCUGCGGCGGAUUAGCUAGUUGGUAAGGUAACGGCUUACCAAGGCGACGAUCCGUAGCCGGCCUGAGAGGGCGGUCGGCCACACUGACACUGACAUACGGGUCAGACUCCUACGGGAGGCAGCAGUCGGGAAUUUUGGGCAAUGGGCGAAAGCCUGACCCAGCAACGCCGCGUGAAGGAUGAAAUCCCUCGGGAUGUAAACUUCGCAAGAAUGGGAAGAAUAAGUAGGGGACAAUACCCCCUAUGAUGACGGUACCAUUUGUAAGCUCCGGCUAACUCCGUGCCAGCAGCCGCGGUAAUACGGGGGGAGCAAGCGUUGUUCGGAUUUACUGGGCGUAAAGGGCGCGUAGGCGGCCAGCACAAGUCAGUUGUGAAAUCUCCGGGCUUAACUCGGAAAGGUCAACUGAUACUGUGCGGCUAGAGUGCGGAAGGGGCAACUGGAAUUCUCGGUGUAGCGGUGAAAUGCGUAGAUAUCGAGAGGAACACCUGCGGCGAAGGCGGGUUGCUGGGCCGACACUGACGCUGAUGCGCGAAAGCCAGGGGAGCGAACGGGAUUAGAUACCCCGGUAGUCCUGGCCUUAAACGAUGGAUGCUUGGUGUCUGGGGUUUUAUAGUCCCCGGGUGCCGCAGCUAACGCGUUAAGCAUCCCGCCUGGGGAGUACGGUCGCAAGACUGAAACUCAAAGGAAUUGACGG